Poecilia reticulata (guppy) is the source of this 435-nucleotide non-coding RNA. NCBI's taxonomy places the organism in Eukaryota, Metazoa, Chordata, Actinopteri, Cyprinodontiformes, Poeciliidae. The record is from RefSeq and is a predicted model, not a curated record.
CGAGUUAAAUUUAUAGUUUUUUAUUUUUUAUGGUGAACCUUCUCAAAACGCAUGAUUGCUGUCGCCUUUGUACUGCAGUGGGUUAUUUCUGUUUUAUACYGUUUUUAUUUUUGGACUCUAGUGUGGUUCCAAAUMCAUCCCCAUUAUAUAUGUAUAUUUGUUUUUCUUUGGGUUUUGAAUUGUAUUUUAUUUUGAUGGAGAAGCUUUUAUUUUCUUGUUUCCUGUUUCUGUGUCACAUCCUGUGAGUUCGUGCCGUCUCCUCAGUUCGCGCCGAGCUGCGCUGGGGAGAGGUAAGCGCACACAGUUGUCUUGCAAUUGUGGAUUAAAACAUUCAAAACGUUGUAUAAAGAAAGGGUGUGCGUGGGAAAGCCAGAGCCGGGAGCUGUUGCUGAACAUGGUUUUGUUUUAAACAGGAAUAAAGCAUCRUAAAUCCUG